Molecule: non-coding RNA, 827 nt
Filed under: Quadrella coronata
Lineage: Eukaryota; Metazoa; Arthropoda; Malacostraca; Decapoda; Trapeziidae
Source: RNAcentral
AUAAAGUUUGACUUUUUCUUUCUUCUUUAUAAUUUUGUUGAAAUUGUAUGAGAACUUUGGUAAGUAAAGACAAAAUGUUUUAUACAUAAAAAGGUUAUAAAAAUUAUUAUUUAUAAUAUAUAAAGUCUCAGCAUAAAAUAUUAAAUUAUCUAUAAAAGUAGAAAUUAGCAAUAAGAAGAGAUAACUGAUAAAAUAUUGUGCCAGCAGUCGCGGUUAAACAUUAAGAGUGAGUAAAGAUUACUUGUAUAGAUUAAUUAAAUAAAUUUAUUAGUUAGUGUAAGUUAAGGAAAUCUAAGGUGAAAUUAAGGUUUUUAUAAAUUUUAUAUAAUAAAAAAUUGAAGUUAAAAAGGUUUAGGUUUAAACUAGGAUUAGAUACCCUAUUAUACUAAAAAUUAUUAUAAAAGUGGAUUACUAUGAGAUAUGUUCUUUAAAUUUGAAGAGUUUGGCGGUAAUUUAGUCUUGUUAGAGGAACCUGUAUUUAGUUGAUCGAUAAACCACGUAAAAAUUUUACUUUCUUUUAUAAAUAGUAGUUUAUAUACCGUCAUUAGUAGAUAAUUUAUAAAAAAAUUUUUAUAAUUCAUGUAAUAUGAGUUAAAUUAGAUCAAGGUGUAGCUUAUAAGAAAGUUAAAUAUGGGUUACAAUAAAUUUUAUUUAUGAUGGAUUUAUUGAAGAAUAAAAAUAAUGAAAUAGGAUUUAAUUGUAUUUUAAGUUUAAUAUGUUUGGAAGAUAUAAGAACUAAAUUAUGUACAUAUUGCCCGUCGCUUUCAUUUUAAGGAUGAAAUAAGUCGUAACAUAGUAGGUUUAUUGGAAAAUGAACCUAGAUUAAU